UUGACGGGGAGCACUACAACGGGUGGAGCCUGCGGUUUAAUUGGACUCAACGCCGGAAAACUCACCGGGGGCGACAGCAAUAUGUAGGUCGAGCUAAAGACUUUACCAGAAUCGCUGAGAGGAGGUGCAUGGCCGUCGUCAGUUCAUACUGUGAAGCAUCCUGUUAAGUCAGGCAACGAGCGAGACCCGUGCCCACUGUUGCCAGCAUGUCCUUCGGGAUGAUGGGUACUCUGUGGGGACCGCCGAUGCUAAAUCGGAGGAAGGUGCGGGCUACGGUAGGUCAGUAUGCCCCGAAUCUCCCGGGCUACACGCGGGCUACAAUGACUGGGACAAUGGGCUCCUACCCCGAAAGGGGAUGGUAAUCUCAUAAACCCAGCCUUAGUUCGGAUCGAGGGCUGUAACCCGCCCUCGUGAAGCUGGAAUCCGUAGUAAUCGCGUUUCAACAUAGCGCGGUGAAUACGUCCCUGCUCCUU
RNAcentral lists this ribosomal RNA (473 nucleotides) under uncultured Methanomethylovorans sp. RNAcentral describes it as "bacterial SSU rRNA". It matches the Rfam family "Archaeal small subunit ribosomal RNA", at positions 871 to 1337 of the family's 1478-position model. The record is from RNAcentral. Lineage: Archaea; Methanobacteriati; Methanobacteriota; Methanomicrobia; Methanosarcinales; Methanosarcinaceae.